AACGCUAGCUACAGGCUUAACACAUGCAAGUCGAGGGGCAGCAUGAUUGAAGCUUGCUUCAAUUGAUGGCGACCGGCGCACGGGUGAGUAACGCGUAUCCAACCUUCCGUACACUCAGGAAUAGCCUUUCGAAAGAAAGAUUAAUACCUGAUGGUAUGAUGAGAUUGCAUGAAAUCAUCAUUAAAGAUUCAUCGGUGUACGAUGGGGAUGCGUUCCAUUAGAUAGUAGGCGGGGUAACGGCCCACCUAGUCGACGAUGGAUAGGGGUUCUGAGAGGAAGGUCCCCACAUUGGAACUGAGACACGGUCCAAACUCCUACGGGAGGCAGCAGUGAGGAAUAUUGGUCAAUGGGCGCGAGCCUGAACCAGCCAAGUAGCGUGAAGGAUGAAGGUCCUACGGAUUGUAAACUUCUUUUAUAAGGGAAUAAAGUCACAUACGUGUAGGUGUUUGUAUGUACCUUAUGAAUAAGCAUCGGCUAACUCCGUGCCAGCAGCCGCGGUAAUACGGAGGAUGCGAGCGUUAUCCGGAUUUAUUGGGUUUAAAGGGAGCGUAGACGGGUCGUUAAGUCAGCUGUGAAAGUUUGAGGCUCAACCUUAAAAUUGCAGUUGAUACUGGCGUCCUUGAGUACGGUUGAGGCAGGCGGAAUUCGUGGUGUAGCGGUGAAAUGCUUAGAUAUCACGAAGAACUCCGAUUG
This 693-nucleotide ribosomal RNA is filed under the name uncultured bacterium. Its description in RNAcentral is "bacterial SSU rRNA". It matches the Rfam family "Bacterial small subunit ribosomal RNA", at positions 32 to 715 of the family's 1533-position model. The record is from RNAcentral.